Molecule: ribosomal RNA, 108 nt
Filed under: Stryphnus mucronatus
Lineage: Eukaryota; Metazoa; Porifera; Demospongiae; Tetractinellida; Ancorinidae
Description: partial 5.8S ribosomal RNA
Rfam family: 5.8S ribosomal RNA
About the family: 5.8S ribosomal RNA (5.8S rRNA) is a component of the large subunit of the eukaryotic ribosome.
Source: RNAcentral
GAACUGCGAUACCUAGUGUGAAUUGCAGAAUUCAGUGAAUCAUCGAGUCUUUGAACGCAAAUGGCGCCGUCGGUCCAAGCCGGCGGCACGUCUGUCUGAGCGUCCUGU